This 607-nucleotide ribosomal RNA is filed under the name uncultured bacterium. Its description in RNAcentral is "bacterial SSU rRNA". The stretch from base 1 to 521 matches the Rfam family "Bacterial small subunit ribosomal RNA", at positions 338 to 873 of the family's 1533-position model. The record is from RNAcentral.
CCUACGGGAGGCAGCAGUGGGGAAUUUUCCGCAAUGGGCGAAAGCCUGACGGAGCAACGCCGCGUGAGGGAUGAAGGCCUCUGGGCUGUAAACCUCUUUUAUCAAGGAAGAAGAUCUGACGGUACUUGAUGAAUAAGCCACGGCUAAUUCCGUGCCAGCAGCCGCGGUAAUACGGGAGUGGCAAGCGUUAUCCGGAAUUAUUGGGCGUAAAGCGUCCGCAGGCGGUCUUGUAAGUCUGUCGUUAAAGCGUGGAGCUUAACUCCAUUUCGGCGGUGGAAACUACAAGACUAGAGUGUGGUAGGGGCAGAGGGAAUUCCCGGUGUAGCGGUGAAAUGCGUAGAUAUCGGGAAGAACACCAGUGGCGAAGGCGCUCUGCUGGGCCAUAACUGACGCUCAUGGACGAAAGCUAGGGGAGCGAAAGGGAUUAGAUACCCCUGUAGCCCUAGCCGUAAACGAUGAACACUAGGUNUCGGGGGAAUCGACCCCCUCGGUGUCGUAGCUAACGCGUUAAGUGUUCCGCCUUGGGGUAGUACGCNCGCAGUGUGAACGUUAAAGGUAAGUUAGUACGGCGUGAGACGUGCCGAACGGACGACGACGAGGGAGUAGG